UCUGUCAUUAAUGGCUUCAAGUACGUGUCUGGGGGUUGACUAACUACCCAGUGUGCAUAGCGGCUAAGAGUCCAGCAUGUAAUGGAGCGCACAAGAGCCUUUUUAUCAGAGAGGCACUGAAUAAGGUCUCAAAAGUAAUCUCAUUCUCACAUCAGUCCAAUGUAACUUCUAUAACAAAGGAAGUUUUAGGAUACAUUCCAGAAGGAAAGAAACAGAAGCCAUACCACUUCAGUCAGGCAAAAGACCUUCCCAAGAAAGAACAAGGUUGAGAGAGGAGCACUCAUAGCUAAAGAAAAACUCCUUCAGCUGUAGAGUGCAAACGAUGUCAUGCAGAGGAAACCUGGCCAUAGAACCUACUACAGUCAAGACUGUCAGCAUUAGAAGAUAAGCCUGAACAGCUGAAAACUGGAUUUCACAACAGUUCGUGACUAUUUCAUAGAUGAAGUCACCCACUUUAAAGCUUCUUAGGGCAUGGAGAUGCCUAAAAAGGAUGUCUC
Molecule: long non-coding RNA, 497 nt
Organism: Mauremys reevesii (Reeves's turtle)
Lineage: Eukaryota; Metazoa; Chordata; Testudines; Geoemydidae
Exons: 3
Source: RefSeq, a predicted model, not a curated record